GGGCCGGCAGAAGCUUGGAUAAGCGAAUAUCUUGGACAAUAAGGAGGGAUUAAGGAAAAGCCUAUUAAACAUCAAAUUAGGUUGUGAUGUUACAAAUUAAGCACCAAAACAUCAUGUUAUACAACAAAUUUGACAGAAAAUGUAGUUCAAUAUGCAGUAAUGUUAUGUUGUAAUAACUGCAUUUACGAAUUUAGCACCAAAAUAUCACGAUGUAUUGAAAACAUUGACUACAAAAAUGGCUUGGAUUAUCCAGAGGCUUGGAUAAGUGAGACUCUACUGUAUUUUUAAUUAUUAUUAUUAUUUUAAGGAGGAAUGAAGGAAAAGCCUAUUAAAUGCCAAAUUAUGUUACGAUUUUACAAAUGAAGCACAGAAACCUCGUGUUUUAUAACAAACCAACAAACCAUUUAGUUGCAGGAGAGCAAGCCCUAUGAGGAGCGGCUGAAACAGUUGGGCAUGUUUAGCCUGCAGAAGAGAAGGCAGAGAGGAGACAUGAUAGCCAUAUACAAAUAUGUGAGAGUAUUAAUUCCUGCUUUAAUAAUUAAACCAUAUCCAUUUUAAUUCCUGUUCCUUUGUUUUUAAACAGAUUUUAUUUUAUUUAUGCUCAAUUCAAUAAAGUACCAACUACGUAUUCACAGUGUAGUAGGCUUUCCUCUGAUCUUAAGUCUAGUUGUGUCUGACUCUGUGGCUUGGGGCUCAUCUCCAUUUCUGAGCUGAAGAGCCAGCGUUGUCUGUAGACACCUCCAAGGUCAUGACUGCAUGGAGCGCUGUUGCCUUCCCGCCGGAGCAGUACCUAUUGAUCUACUCACAUUUGCAUGUUUUCGAACUGCUAGGUUGGCAGAAGCUGGGGCUAACAUUGGGAGCUCACUCCGCUCCCCGGAUUCAAACUGUCAACCUUUUGGACAGCGGGUUCAGCAGCUCAGCGGUUCAACCUGUUGCACCACUAGUCACUUCUUAAUAAAGAUGCUGUCUUGGGUGGGAGUCUCUUCUGAGCCUAGGAUUCUGUGGAUCGGUGCCUCUUGCCCAUUUGUUCUCUGUGUUUUCCUAGAUGCCGCAGAACGUGGAGAUCAAGGCCCGGGUGCGGGACCUGGCGCACCUCGUGAGCAACGCCGAGCGGCUGAGUGGGUCCGCGGGGGAACUCAUCCGGCAGACAGACACCUUCUUCCCCGCCCCAAAGGGCCGCCUGAAGCUCCGAGACUUCCGGGUGGUGCUGCGGGAGGGUCAGAGCCCCGGGGACGGAGAGGCCGAGGCCCGGCGCCUGAUGGGGGAGCUGGGUGUCCGCGAGGAGGACCUUCUGGCCGGGGCCUACAUGGACCUCCUCCUGGCCAGAGCGGGCGGCCCUCCCUGACACAGACCUCACUCUGGGCCACUCAAAGGUCGCCAGUUGUUCUAGUGACUUAAUAAAAUGGGAGAAAUACUAAAAAAGACAACAUCUUCAUUGCCAAGUGGGCUUGGCCUUGGGCAAAAGUGGUCUGACCCUUGGUUUUGUUCCUGCUUUGUCUUUGCAAGACUUGGGGUGCCUUUGCACUGGGUUAAAUGAACUCACCUUGAACUGCCAGAGCUUAGGGCCAGUUAACAUCUCCCAAACAGAGGGUGCCUCCAGGCAACAGAUCCCCUCACUGAUUGACUUUGCAGAUGUAAGGCUACUCAAUGGUAUUCAAGCUUGCUCAUUGGAACAUUUACACUUGCUUAAAACAGACAAGGGUUCAAUGCGACUGUCACCUGGGAUGGCGACAUCAAUGAUCCAAACCUUUUUCUUUUCCACAACUGUGAUGUCUGGUGUGUUGUGUUCCAGAACUUUGUCAGUCUGGAUUCGGAAGUCCCACAGUAUCUUUGCGUGCUCAUUUUCCAAUACUUUUGCAGGUUUGUGAUCCCACCAGUUCUUUGCUGUUGGAAGGUGGUACCUGAGGCAUAAGUUCCAAUGAAUCAUUUGAACCACAUAGUUGUGCCUCUGUUUGUAGUCUGUCUGUGUGAUUUUCUUACAGCAGCUGAGGAUAUGAUCAAUGGUUUCGUCGGUUUCCUUGCACAGUCUGCACUUUGGGUCAUCAGCUGAUUUUUCGAUCUUGGCCUUAAUUGCCUUUUUAUUAUUAUUAUUAUUAUUAUUAUUAUUAUUAUUAUUAUUAUUAUUAUUAUUAUUAUUAUUAUUCUACUUGACACACAAGGAUAGGAAGUCUCCUAAGAGCCUGCUGCUUUUUGCCCCUUCAUGUCCUGCUCCCUUCAGAUUGUUCUGUGUCACCACCCUUCUGCCGUAUUGAUGGGAGUCUCAUGCGCCAUUGAAUCUCAUGCACACCAAAAGAAGGGUGUGCUGGCGAAUGUCAUGUGCAGCUGCCAGAAGUGCCCUCUUUGUCAUUGGGCCAGAAAAGGGUGCCCGCCUGCUUAUCAUUCCUUCUUCGGAAACAAAAGUGUUGGAGUGUCAACGCUUCCAGGGAUGGAAAGGAAAACCUUGGGGUGCAUCUCUUUAACUGCCUUUAACUGCCUUGGUUCAAUCCUAUGGAGUCAUGAGGGAUGUAGUCUCCUGGACUUUGAUACUGUAGACCAUGGUGUCCUUCUGGGCCACCUUGCGAGGCUGGGUCUUGGGGAUAUUAUUCUACACAGGUUCCAGUCCUUCUUGGAGGGUCAUUCCCAGAAGGUGUGACUGGGGGACUCCCAGGGCACAGUACUGUCUCCCAUGUUGUUGAACAUCUACAUGAAGCCGUUGGGAGAGAUCAUUCGGAGUUUUGGAGUUCGAUGCCAUCUGUACGUAGAUGACGUCCAACUCUACUACUCCUUCUAAGGAGGCUGUUCGAGUCCUGAACCAACCGGUGCCUGGCCACUGUGACGGUCUGGAUGAGGGCGAACAAACUGAAGUUGAAUCCAGACAAGACGGAGGCCUUCCUGGUCAGUUGUAAGGCUGAACAGGGAAUAGGGUUGCAGCAUGUGCUGGAUGGGGUCACACUCCCCUUGAAGGCGCAGGUUCGCAGCUUGGGAGUCCUCCUGGUCUCAUCGCUGAGCCUGGAACCACAGGUCUUGGUGGUGGCUAGGGAAGCUUUCGCACAAUUAAAACUUGUGUGCCAGUUGUGCCCGUACUUUGGGAAGUCGGACUUGGCCACAGUGGUCCACGCUCUCGUUACAUCUAGGAUAGACUACUGCAACAUGCUCUACGUGGGGUUGUCUUUGAAGACUGUUCAAAAGCUUCAAAUAGUCCAGUGAGAGGCAGCCAGAUUGCUCACCGGAGCUACAUACAGGGACUAUACAAUCACCCCUGUUGUGCCAGCUCUAUUGGUUGCCUGUUUGCUACUGAGCACAAUUCAAAGUGCUGGCUUUGGCCUAUAAAGCCCUAAACCAGGGGUCCCCAAACUAAGGCCUGUGGGCCGGAGGCGGCCCUCCAAGGUCAUUGACCUGGCCCCUGUUCUAAACUUUAGACUUAGGGUUGACCUAAGUCUACUUGGUCUUUGGAGGUCUCUUUGCUUACCUAUGGUAUUAUGAAACUAUCUAGAUGGUCUUUGAGGUCCCUUUCCUUAUCUAUGGUCUUCUGAUGGCCUUAUGAGAUCAUCUAGAUGGCCUUUAGGGUCCCUUUCCUUACCGAUGGUCUUAUGAAACCAUCUAGAUGGUCUUUGGCGGUCUCUUUGCUUACCUAUGGUCUUAUGAAACCAUCUAGAUGGUCUUUGAGGGUCCGUUUCCUUAUCUGUGGUCUUCUGAUGGCCUGAUGAGAUCAUCUAGAUGGCCUUUGAGGGUCCCUUUCCUUACCGAUGGCCUUAUGAGAUUGUCUAGAUGGUCUUUGAAGGUCUCUUUGCUUAGCUACGGGCUUAUGAGACCAUCUAGAUGGCUUUUGGAGGUCACUUUCCUUACCUAUGGUCAUAUGAGCCCGUCUAGAUGGCCUUUGAGGGUGCCUUUGCUUACCUAUGGUUUUAUGAGAUUGUCUUGAUGACCUUUGAGGGCCCCUUUCCAUACCUGUGGUCUUAUGAAACCAUCUAGAUGGUCUUUGAGGGUCGCUUUCCUUACCGAUGGUCGUAUGAGACCAUGUAGAUGGUCUUUGGAGGUCUCUUUGCUUACCUAUGGUCUUAUGAGAUCGUCUAGAUCAGGGGUCCCCAAACUAAGGCUCUCCAAGGUCACUUACCUGGCCUCUGUCCUAAACUUUAGACUUAGGGUUGACCUAAGUCUGAAAAGACUUGAAGGCACACAACAACAACAAGCCUAUUUUUGGACUGUUUCAUAGUCCGGCCCCCCAACAGUCUGAGGGACUGUGAAUCGGCCCUCCACUUAAAAAGUGUGAGGACCCCUGCCCUAAACAGCCCUGGCCCAGUUUACCUGUCUGAACACACCUCCCUCUAUGAACCACUGCGGAGAGUAAGAUCUUCCGGGGAGGACGUGCUCUCGGUCCUGCCACUGUCACAGCCACAACUGGCAGGGACAAGAGAGAGGGCCUUCCGUCUCAGGGAUUGACCCCCAUAGGGCUAUGGCACCCCCUCCCUGGGGAGACAAGACCAGCCCCCUCCCUCCCUCCUGUCCUUCAGGAAGAUGGUCAAGACCUGGACGUGGGACCAAGCCUUUGGGGCAGGGCAAUGGCGGCAGCAAGAGGAAAUAUGGUGCGGCUGACUUGCCAUGGUUUUAAAUCACGGUUUUAAUGUGAAGAUAACUGAUUUUAGUGUUUACGUAUAGUUAUGGUUUAUUUUAGGAGUCCCCAGUGGCGCAGUGUGUUAAAGCGCUGAGCUGCUGAACUUGCAGGUUGAAAGGUCUGCAAGUCCAUCGUUCCAUCAAGCCCUUCCUUCCUUUUUUCCUUUCCUUCCCUCCCUCAAGCCCUUCCUUCCCUCCCUCCUUUCCUUCCUCCUUUCCUUCCUCCUUAUCCCUCUUCUUUCUCUCCACCUUUCCUUUUAUCCUGGCCUGCCUUCCUUCCUUCCUUCCACCCAUCCUUCUGGCCUUUCCUUCCCUCCCUCUUUCUUCCCUCACUCUCUCCUCCUUCCUUCAUUCUAUUCUUUCCUUCCUCCCAUCAAGCACUUCCUUCCUCCUUCCCUUCCUCCCUUCUUUCUCUUCCCCCUUCCCUUUCUCCUGGCCUUCCUUCCUUCCAUCCAUCUACUCGUCCUUCCUUUGCCUCCCUCCCUCUUCCUUCCCUUGCUUUCUAUUCCUUUCCUUUCUUCAAUCCAUAUUCUUCCCUAUUCUUUCCUAUUCCUUUCCUUCCUGCUCCUUCAUCUCUCCUUUCCUAUUCCUUCCUGUUCCCUUUCUAUUCCUUCCCUUGCUCCCUCCUUUAUUCCUUCAAUCCAUUCUUUUCUUCCUUCAGUCCAAGCCCUCCCUCCCUUAUUCUUCCUUCCUUCCUUCCUUCCUUCCUUUCUUUCUCUCCACCUUCCCUUCCUCCUGGCCUUCCUUCCUUCCUCCCUCCCUUCCUUCCUUCCACACGUCUUCCUGUCCUUUCUUCCUUCCCUCCCUCCCUCUUACUAUUCCCUUCCUAUUCCUUCCUUCACUCUCUCCUCCUUCCUUCCUUCAAUCCAUUCUUUCCUUCUUCCCAUCAAGCCCUUCCUUCCCUUCCUCCUUCCCUUCCUCCCUCCCUUACUCUCCGCCUUCCCAUCCUCCUUCCUACCACCCAUCCUCCUGUCCUUUUCUUCCCUCUCUUCCUCCCUCUUCACUCCUUUCCUUCCUUCCACACAUUCAUCCUGGCCUUUACUUACCCUCCAUCUUACUAUCCCUCGCUAUCUCC
RNAcentral lists this long non-coding RNA (5665 nucleotides) under Anolis carolinensis (green anole). RNAcentral's name for it is "lncRNA (ENSACAG00000041586.1)". Lineage: Eukaryota; Metazoa; Chordata; Lepidosauria; Squamata; Anolidae. The record is from RNAcentral.